This 444-nucleotide long non-coding RNA is filed under the name Brassica rapa (field mustard). Its description in RNAcentral is "long non-coding RNA (BRAP_LNC003091)". Lineage: Eukaryota; Viridiplantae; Streptophyta; Magnoliopsida; Brassicales; Brassicaceae. The record is from RNAcentral.
UCAUGUUAUUCUUUAAUAGUGUAUUAACAUCAAUACAUUUUCAUGUUUAAGAUUGUAUAAAACACACAAAUAGAAUAUAUAAACUUAAUAUUAGUGUAAUUUUCAUUAAAAUUAUGAAUAGAAAUGAUAUUUAUAAAAUUUUAGAUCAAAUAAAUAAAUAAAAAUAUUAUUAAAGUUAAAAUAAAAAUAAAAAAUAAAAAAAUAGAUAAAGUGGCUAGACAGUCAUUUAGACGGUGUAGAUGGAAAAAAUCAGAUAUCCAAUUUUUUAAACCGAUUUGGUAUAAAUCGGAGAGAAAGAGUGAUGCGUAACGGCUAGGCGGCCUAUUUUUAGAACAGGGGAAAAUAUCAAACAUGUAGGGGGAGGUAUAAAUAUUCUUUCGUUUCUUCCAUAUCAACCUUGUCCCCCAUUAGAAUCUUAUUGACAUUAUCUGAUCGCGUCCUGGC